This 1489-nucleotide ribosomal RNA is filed under the name Lactiplantibacillus pentosus. RNAcentral describes it as "bacterial SSU rRNA". It matches the Rfam family "Bacterial small subunit ribosomal RNA". Lineage: Bacteria; Bacillati; Bacillota; Bacilli; Lactobacillales; Lactobacillaceae. The record is from RNAcentral.
GACGAACGCUGGCGGCGUGCCUAAUACAUGCAAGUCGAACGAACUCUGGUAUUGAUUGGUGCUUGCAUCAUGAUUUACAUUUGAGUGAGUGGCGAACUGGUGAGUAACACGUGGGAAACCUGCCCAGAAGCGGGGGAUAACACCUGGAAACAGAUGCUAAUACCGCAUAACAACUUGGACCGCAUGGUCCGAGUUUGAAAGAUGGCUUCGGCUAUCACUUUUGGAUGGUCCCGCGGCGUAUUAGCUAGAUGGUGGGGUAACGGCUCACCAUGGCAAUGAUACGUAGCCGACCUGAGAGGGUAAUCGGCCACAUUGGGACUGAGACACGGCCCAAACUCCUACGGGAGGCAGCAGUAGGGAAUCUUCCACAAUGGACGAAAGUCUGAUGGAGCAACGCCGCGUGAGUGAAGAAGGGUUUCGGCUCGUAAAACUCUGUUGUUAAAGAAGAACAUAUCUGAGAGUAACUGUUCAGGUAUUGACGGUAUUUAACCAGAAAGCCACGGCUAACUACGUGCCAGCAGCCGCGGUAAUACGUAGGUGGCAAGCGUUGUCCGGAUUUAUUGGGCGUAAAGCGAGCGCAGGCGGUUUUUUAAGUCUGAUGUGAAAGCCUUCGGCUCAACCGAAGAAGUGCAUCGGAAACUGGGAAACUUGAGUGCAGAAGAGGACAGUGGAACUCCAUGUGUAGCGGUGAAAUGCGUAGAUAUAUGGAAGAACACCAGUGGCGAAGGCGGCUGUCUGGUCUGUAACUGACGCUGAGGCUCGAAAGUAUGGGUAGCAAACAGGAUUAGAUACCCUGGUAGUCCAUACCGUAAACGAUGAAUGCUAAGUGUUGGAGGGUUUCCGCCCUUCAGUGCUGCAGCUAACGCAUUAAGCAUUCCGCCUGGGGAGUACGGCCGCAAGGCUGAAACUCAAAGGAAUUGACGGGGGCCCGCACAAGCGGUGGAGCAUGUGGUUUAAUUCGAAGCUACGCGAAGAACCUUACCAGGUCUUGACAUACUAUGCAAAUCUAAGAGAUUAGACGUUCCCUUCGGGGACAUGGAUACAGGUGGUGCAUGGUUGUCGUCAGCUCGUGCCGUGAGAUGCUGGGUUAAGUCCCGCAACGAGCGCAACCCUUAUUAUCAGUUGCCAGCAUUAAGUUGGGCACUCUGGUGAGACUGCCGGUGACAAACCGGAGGAAGGUGGGGAUGACGUCAAAUCAUCAUGCCCCUUAUGACCUGGGCUACACACGUGCUACAAUGGAUGGUACAACGAGUUGCGAACUCGCGAGAGUAAGCUAAUCUCUUAAAGCCAUUCUCAGUUCGGAUUGUAGGCUGCAACUCGCCUACAUGAAGUCGGAAUCGCUAGUAAUCGCGGAUCAGCAUGCCGCGGUGAAUACGUUCCCGGGCCUUGUACACACCGCCCGUCACACCAUGAGAGUUUGUAACACCCAAAGUCGGUGGGGUAACCUUUUAGGAACCAGCCGCCUAAGGUGGGACAGAUGAUUAGGGUG